CAGGACUCGCAAGACUCCUACAACCCUGUGAACUUAACUAUAAGCACGCUGCUUCGGCGGGUAUCGGCGAGGGUCCUCCCUCCCGGGCGCUAAGACCGCAGGAAGCCUACUUUAUUACUCUGUUCUCUGCGUGGCAUCUCGAGUACAAUCAAAGUA
Molecule: unclassified non-coding RNA, 156 nt
Filed under: soil metagenome
Description: partial internal transcribed spacer 1
Source: RNAcentral